Molecule: ribosomal RNA, 177 nt
Filed under: uncultured Gammaproteobacteria bacterium
Lineage: Bacteria; Pseudomonadati; Pseudomonadota; Gammaproteobacteria
Description: partial 16S ribosomal RNA
Rfam family: Bacterial small subunit ribosomal RNA
Source: RNAcentral
ACUCCUACGGGAGGCAGCAGUGGGGAAUAUUGCACAAUGGGCGAAAGCCUGAUGCAGCCAUGCCGCGUGUAUGAAGAAGGCCUUCGGGUUGUAAAGUACUUUCAGUAGUGAGGAAGGCAGUAAGUUUAAUACGCUUAUUGUUUGACGUUAGCUACAGAAGAAGCACCGGCUAACUCC